RNAcentral lists this ribosomal RNA (256 nucleotides) under uncultured bacterium. RNAcentral's name for it is "partial 16S ribosomal RNA". It matches the Rfam family "Bacterial small subunit ribosomal RNA", at positions 524 to 776 of the family's 1533-position model. The record is from RNAcentral.
GACGAACCGUGCGAACGUUGUUCGGAAUCACUGGGCUUAAAGGGCGCGUAGGCGGGCCGCCGCGUCCGGGGUGAAAUCCCCCCGCUCAACGGGGGGACGGCCUCGGAUACGGGCGGCCUGGAGGCGGGUAGGGGCACGCGGAACUGUGGGUGGAGCGGUGAAAUGCGUUGAUCUACAGAGGAACACCAAAAAAGGCGAAGGCAGUCAACUAUUCUGUUCCUGACAUUGAGGCAUGAAAGCGUGGGGAGCAAACCGG